AGAGUUUGAUCAUGGCUCAGGACGAACGCUGACGGCGUGCUUAACACAUGCAAGUCGAACGGGAUCCAUGGAGUAGCAAUACUCCGGAAGAUCUAGUGGCGAACGGGUGAGUAACACGUGAGCAACCUGCCCCAAAGACUGGGAUAACCCCGGGAAACCGGAGCUAAUACCGGAUGCCCUCAUCGGGUCGCAUGGCCUGAUGAGGAAAUGAAUUUCGCUUUGGGAGGGGCUCGCGGGAUAUCAGCUUGUUGGUGGGGUAACGGCCUACCAAGGCUUCGACGUCUAGCUGGUCUGAGAGGACGAUCAGCCACACUGGGACUGAGACACGGCCCAGACUCCUACGGGAGGCAGCAGUGGGGAAUCUUGCCCAAUGGGCGAAAGCCUGAGGCAGCAACGCCGCGUGUGGGAUGACGGCCCUCGGGUUGUAAACCACUUUCAGCAGGGACGAAAUUGACGGUACCUGCAGAAGAAGCUCCGGCCAACUACGUGCCAGCAGCCGCGGUAAUACGUAGGGAGCGAGCGUUGUCCGGAUUUAUUGGGCGUAAAGGGCGCGUAGGCGGUUAAGUAAGUCGGAUGUUAAAUCUCCAAGCUCAACUUGGAGCUGCCAUUCGAAACUGCUUUGACUUGAGUCUGGUAGGGGAACACGGAAUACCUGGUGUAGCGGUGAAAUGCUUAGAUAUCAGGUGGAACACCAGUGGCGAAGGCGGUGUUCUGGGCCAGUACUGACGCUGAUGCGCGAAAGCGUGGGGAGCGAACAGGAUUAGAUACCCUGGUAGUCC
Molecule: ribosomal RNA, 779 nt
Filed under: uncultured Acidimicrobiales bacterium
Lineage: Bacteria; Bacillati; Actinomycetota; Acidimicrobiia; Acidimicrobiales
Description: bacterial SSU rRNA
Rfam family: Bacterial small subunit ribosomal RNA
Source: RNAcentral